Cherax quadricarinatus is the source of this 1310-nucleotide non-coding RNA. NCBI's taxonomy places the organism in Eukaryota, Metazoa, Arthropoda, Malacostraca, Decapoda, Parastacidae. The record is from RefSeq and is a predicted model, not a curated record.
AGUGUUGUAGACGCCCAGUUGUUAAUUCUUAUGCCUAACUCAAAUUUAUUAUCGUUCUUAACUAGGGAGGUGGCAACAAGAGCAGAUGCAGCCCUGCCAGAAGACUCCUGUUUAGAUCCAUCAGUGUAUAUAACUUGUUACUACCAGCUAGAUAUGGAUAAGAUUGUGAGGAUCGAGGGGGCCACCUGCAGUGACCAGAGGUGGUUAAGUUUUCUCACACGUCUACACGGGGUGACUGCGGUAAACGAUAUAGUUAUUGUCUCCCAAUGAGAUUACUCGUAUGUAUGUGAUGUUGAGAUGGAGGAUUGAAAUAUGAGUUGAUACUACAACCACUGGAUCAUUGGAAACACUGUUCCAUUGACAAGACUGGUACCACUGUACUAUUCACAAGACUUCUACCACUGUCAUUUGACAACAAUGCUACAAGUGUACCAUUAAUUAACACUGGUAGUACUGCAUCUGUGACAAGUGUUACCACGGUAAAAUGGAGAACAUUGGUACCCCUGAACCAUUGAAAACGCUGGUACCUUUGUGCCAUUAAUAACACUGCACCAUUGACUAUGCUGGAACCACUGUAUCUCUGACAACAGUGCUACUGGCAACACUAGUUCUACCUGUGUAGCUUUCACAACACUGGUACCAUCGACACUACUACCACUCAUGCUUAUUCUAUUUAUAUCAGGAUUAAUGUCUGUAAUUUAUCUAUCGUGUUAGGUAGCUAUAUAAAUAAAACCACAUUUUGUGUGGAGUGUCAUAUAGUGAGAAUUAACAUCAAUUCAUAAGAGAAGGUUGCUAAGUUGAACAACUCCCACGUAAUGUCACUCAACUCUGUUUACAUCUGGAAUUAUAGCCAAUGACAGUAAAGUACUCUUGCAGCAUGAGUAACUGAAGGACUUGUAAGGUUAAUGGUGAUUGUUGACGUCAUAAUGGUUGGUCAACACUAACUUUCUCUUAUGAUCUGCUGUUGCUCACUGCUUCUCUAUUAGUGAUUGAUAAUUAAUGACAUUAUUAUUAUAAUCACUACUAAGGGCUAAAUAUGACAAAGCUGAGUCAUUUAACCAAUCAGCAUUCACCUUACAAGUCCUCAUGCUGCUAGAGUACUUUACACUCACUGUGAUUGGGUAUAAUUCUAGAUGUAAACAAAGAGUUUCUACCAAUGAAAUGCGAGUUUUUGAGUGACGUUAUGUGGGAGUUGUUCAACUUAGCAACCUUCUCUUAUGACUUGCUGUUGAUCAUCUUAGUGACAAAUUCUCUCACUAGAUGGCACUCUAAAAAAUACACAGAAAACCUGCCAAAGCUUCGUUCGUCAU